GCUGUUCUGGCCGAGUGGUCUAAGGCGCUGCGUUCAGGUCGCAGUCCUCUCAGGAGGGCGCAGGUUCAAAUCCUGCGGACAGCA
Caenorhabditis tropicalis is the source of this 84-nucleotide non-coding RNA. Lineage: Eukaryota; Metazoa; Nematoda; Chromadorea; Rhabditida; Rhabditidae. The record is from Rfam.